AUGGCGGCCAUGGAGGCGCCGCACUGCGCGUCCACUUCCUCAGCUUUCCUCGGCCUCCCGCACGCCGGCAACGGCAGGCGGCGCCACGGCAAUUCAUGCCGCUUCGCCGCCAACGCCUGCAGGCUGGCGCCGGUGUCGGCGACGCUGGACAAGGAGACCGCGGCGGCGAAGCCCCGGCGGUCCCGGAACCGCCGGUCCAGGAAGGCGACCAAGUCCUAGUCCACGGCGCUGCUCGCCCCCGACGAGCCGGCGGAGGCCAAGAACGGCGGCGGCGGCGGCGGCGGCAGGGGGAUGGUGGCGCUGGACGAUGUGAUCGUGAACCCGGUGGGGCUCGGCCGGCGCUCCCGGCAGGUGUUCGACGAGGUGUGGCGCAAGUUCUCGCGGCUCGGCCAGAUGUCCAGCGCCUCCUCCUCCGCCGUGGCCGAGCAGGACCCCGCCGUCCUCUUCCGCGGCGGACCCAUGUGCGAGUUCACCGUGCCUGGUGCGCAGGACACCUCCGUGCUCGUCGUCGGCGCCACCAGCCGCAUCGGCCGCAUCGUCGUCCGCAAGCUCAUGCUCCGCGGAUACAACGUCAAGGCGUUAGUCAGGACGAAUGAUCCGGAAGUGAUUGACAUGCUUCCGAGGUCUGUGGACAUCGUGGUUGGCGAUGUCGGUGAUCCUUCUUCAGUUCAGGCUGCCGUUUCAGGUUGCAACAAGGUAAUUUACUGCGCUACCGCACGGUCGACUAUCACCGGAGACCUCAACAAGUCAACAGGGUUGAUAACCAAGGAGUAAGGAAUGUUACCAAGGCUUUCCAGGAUUACUACAAUCAGCUGGCCCAGUCAAGGGCUGGUAAAAGCAGCAAGAGCAAACUGACGAUUGCAAAAUUUAAAUCCGCCAAAUCUGUGAAAGGAUGGGAGGUGCGGCAGGGAUCAUACUUUCAGGAUAUCUACCCUUCUAGAUUCGAUGGAGGCACCGAUGCGUCAUUUGAAUAUUCGGAAAGUGGACAGGCUGUGUUCUCAGGGUUUGUUUUCACAAGGGGUGGCUACGUUGAAAUGUCUAAACGGCUUUCGCUUCCUCUGGGUUCCACCCUGGACAGGUAUGACGGAUUGCUUCUUUCGGUGGGCAGAAAUGGAAGAUCAUAUGUUAUUAUUCUUGAGACUGGUCCGCUAGCUGACACCUCACAGACCAAGAAAUAUUUUGCCCGGAUGAACACAAAAGUUGGAUUUUGCAGAGUGAGAGUGCCGUUUUCAGCUUUCCGGCCAGUAAACCCACAGGAUCCUCCAUUGGACCCGUUUCUUGUGCACACACUAACCAUCAGGUUUGAGCCCAAGAAGCAGAGACCUGGUGAUUCAUCUGAACAAGGAGCUGCUAGUGACCCCAGAAACUUUGAGCUGAAAAUGGAGUUUAUAAAAGCUUUGCCAAGUGGUCAAGAAACAGACAUUGUGCUGGUCUCAUGCACAGGCUCAGGAAUUGAAGCCAACAGGCGAGAACAAGUCCUCAAAGCGAAGAAGGCUGGAGAGGACGCAUUGAGGAGAUCUGGCCUCGGGUAUACGAUUGUGCGCCCAGGUCCGCUGCAGGAAGAACCUGGGGGUCCGCGCGCCUUGAUCUUCGACCAAGGGAGCAGGAUCUCUCAGGGCAUCAGCUGCGCCGAUGUGGCUGACAUCUGCGUGAAAGCGCUGCACGAUUCGACAGCAAGGAACAAGAGCUUCGAUGUUUCCUACGAGCAUGUCUCGGAGCAAGGGAAUGAGCUGUAUGAACUUGUGGCUCAUCUACCUGACAAGGCCAACAACUACCUGUCGCCGGCUCUCUCGGUUCUGGAGAAGAACACCUGAUCUGAUCACCAGUGAAUGAGUGGUGACUAUGAGCUAGCACGACGACUCUACAAGCGAUGCACACACAUUUACAGGUUCUCUUUGGGCUCCCAUUUUCGGUUAAGAUACGGUGUGGGGUCCACAUUCAGAGGGUAGGAGAUUUUUUUGUGUGCGUACUCCCUCAUGUCACUCGUCAAAGAGGACUAGAGGAGCACAAAGGAAGGGACUUUGGAAGCCCAUCCUUUUAGUGUAGUGGCAGUUUCGGAGACUGGGACCCAGAGGCAAUGGAGUGAUCUGGCCCCUGCCAGGCAUGUAGAUGUACGAUAUUAUUGAACAAUGAUGCAUAUAGUUGUUGGCGCAGAACUAGGGCCAACACACAAAAGCGCUAGAACGCGCAAUGAGCGACGGCACAAUGCAACACCGAUGCUCAGAUUGGUCGGGUAUACCGGUCAGACCGGUUGUCGCCGGGCAGGCCGGCGGCGAAACCAACGAACGUCGCCCGGGAAGGACCCGUCAGGGCAGGCGCACGCAGGGUUGUUCUAGGGUCGGCAGGCCACCUAGAACACCCUCAAUCGACGUAGAGACGAAUAAGAAACAGCAGAUAGUAGAUUAGAAAAACUAGGGCAAAAAGAAAAUAUAAAAUGAUAAAAGUGUUUAUAUUUGAUCGAUUGGAUACCCUAAUCGGCCAUGACUCUUUAUAUUUAUAGGGUAGUGUGGACUUAUCCCGCAAAGAAUCCUUUUUACAGAUGGAAACCUACAAAAUAAUCUAAUUACACUCGGACUCCUCAUAGACCGGUCAGACCGGUCGACCCUACCGGUCAGACCGGUCGGCUACUGCCGGAUCAACUACAGCGUCUGACCGGUCAGACCGCUAGGGCGCACCGGUCAAACCGGUCGAUAUUGUCCAAUGUCAAUUUUGGUCGUCAACAUAUGCCCCCCCUGUUCUUUGGCAAAACUUGCGUGCCAAAGAACACUCUUCUGGACCAAAAUUGUCUAAAGGCGAUGAAUACAUCGGCCAUUUUUUGUGCUAAGGGCGAUAACAAUUUAUCGGCCGUAUCUUGUUUCUUCUUCAAGCUGAUGACGAAACAACUUGCUUAGUCCUCCAUACCUGCUUCAUGGUCGCCGACCUCGCUGGUAUAAUCUCCGCAUGUUGUUUCAUGGACUCCUUUUUGCUCAUCCGUUGCAGCCUUCUCUUUUGGGUGUGAGACAAGCCUGAGAGACACUACCUCGGCUGUAGAUAUUUUGAAUUUUGUUUUAUGUCCUCACACUCUUUGCUGCAAUCAAUGUCUUUUUUUACCAGAUUAUCGCUAAUCGGUCUUUGUGAAGCAUAACUCGGAUAUAUAGGAGAAAAAUGAAUAUAAUAUGACUGCAUGUGCAUCCUACCAUAAUCCAAAGGCAUAUAACAAGGAUGCCAGCAAUACCAUGGAGCAAUCAGUCCAUUAAAUGAAUUAUCUUGUCUCAAACUCGAUUGCUUUUGAGACGAUGAUGACUUUGCAUUCUUGACUUUGUCUGGCCGUCCCCUCUGCUUCUGGAUGACUUCUUUCUUCUCAUAUUUGGCCAAGAGUUCUUUAAAACUCGGCCUUUCUUUUUUUUCUGGAAUUUUUUCCAGAAUUCUAAGAUUGACCGGUCAGACCGGUUUCUAGACAGGUCAAACCGGUCUUAGCAGACCUGGUGCCUUUGUUCUUAUCUUCCCCCCCCCCCCCCCGAGCAUUGAAUUCUUCAAUGAGUCUUUAGGGACUUUCUUUGCUGGAGCUUUCUGGCGAGAUUUUGAAAGCUCAGGUCUCUCUUCACCAACAAUUAUAUUUUUUCUCUUUUGCCGAUUCGGCUUGAUUUGGCCGAAUUAACACUUUGGGAUUAUUCAAUCCAAGCAUGUGUGUAUGUGCAGGGAAAAGAUUCUGAUCCACCUUCAUUUGUGCAACAAUUAUUCGGCCUUCAUUAACAGCCGAUUGAAUUUGUCUCCGGAGCACAUUGCAAUCAUUAGUUGCAUGAGAGAAAGUAUUGUGAAACUUGCAAAAACCUCGCCGCUUUAAUUCUUCAAGUGGCGGUAUGACAUGCGACAUCUUGAUGUAUCCUUUUUUAUAUAAUUCAUCAAAUAUCCUCUCGCAUUUGGAUACAUCAAAAGUGAAUCUUUGUUGCCGAUCUUUGUGAAUCUGUUUAAGAGAACCACAAACGCAAGGUUUAUCAUUAGAGGGCCAAACAAAUUCAGCGGUAUAAACAUCUUUACCUUCAUUGUCCGAACAAAUGGAAUCACACCCAAGCACAUAAACAGGACGAUUAGGUUUUUCGUUGGACUUUUGAGAAUCUCUAGCCUCCUUAACUCGGCUUUCAUUAGCCAGAGCUUUUUGCAAGACUUGACUAACAUCUAGGAAUCAUUGUCCCUCUAGCUUUGCUUUAUGAAAAUCAAGUAAACCAGCAAAAGCUAGAUCGGCCAAAUCUCUAUCAGAAAUUGUCAAACUAUAGCAUUGGUUUCUAGUAUCUCUAAAUCUUCUAAUAUACUCAGAAACACCUUCGUGUAUUUUUUGUUUAACCGAUAAAAGAUAGGGUAAAAGAUAUGACAAUCUCAAUUCAGUUUCACCAGUAAAGAAAUAAUCAUGGAAUUUCUGCUCUAAAUCAGCAAAAGUGAAAACUGAAUUUUCUGGCAAUGAAAUAAACCAAGUAAAUGCAGCAUCCGAUAGAGAUAAAGGAAAUAACCUCAAUUUAUAAAUGUCAUUAGUGCUAGCCUCACCACAUUGUAUAAUAAAUUGACCAAUAUGCUCCAAUGUAGUUCUACUAUCAUCACCAGUGAAUUUAACAAAUUCAGAAAUUUUAAACCCUUGAGGAUAUGCAACAUAAUCGUAAUUCUCAGGGUAUGGUCUUUGAUAAGUUCGGCAUUUGGCUUUAGAUUCUAUACCAAAGGUUUGCCGAAAUAUCUUCAUCACCUCCUCUUUAAUACUACCUGAUCCAACAUCAUCGGUAUUAGGCCGAUUUGUGAUCGGUGUAUUAUUAGGUUGAGUAAAGUUCAGCGGUGUAGAAUGUCGCAACGAACUCGCUGCCUCAUAUGGCACAUUGGCAUUAGUUGAUGCAUUAUAAUUAAUUCGGCUACGCUGAUUAGCCGAAUUAGUCACAAUAGCAUUAUUAGUUGGAAUUGCCGAACUACCCGUUGUCUUAUCGGUAUUAGACGUAGACACAUCAUUACUAACAGACUUCAUACCGAGAUGUAUCUCAAUUCGGCUAAAACAAUUAUCAAACAUAUCAUGCAUAUUUUGACCAAUAAAUUCCAACUUAUUAUUCA
Molecule: RNA transcript, 5064 nt
Organism: Panicum virgatum (switchgrass)
Lineage: Eukaryota; Viridiplantae; Streptophyta; Magnoliopsida; Poales; Poaceae
Gene name: protein HIGH CHLOROPHYLL FLUORESCENCE PHENOTYPE 173, chloroplastic-like
Exons: 13
Source: RefSeq, a predicted model, not a curated record